GCAGGUUGACCUCUACUAAGGAUCCCAGGCCAGUGUUUUCUUAGGAGAAAAAGGACAAGGGGGGGGGGGGAAUCUGCCCAGAGGGUAUAGCCAGCCUCUCCAGUUCUGCCAGGGCCAGACUCCUCCUGAAGUUCAUGAGGAUGGCUGCAUAGAGGAACUUGGUGGAGAAGGGACUUUCUGGCAAAAAAUGUGCAGUGUGUGCUUUUCUAUGGCAGGAAGUGAGGGAGACUCAGAAAAGCUGAGUCAGGCCCCUCUGGGACCACAGUGAAGGAGCCCUUUUCUGCCCUCACCCAAAAGAACCCCCACCCAUCCCCCUCUUCUCACUGAGGAGGUGGAGGGGUGACAAGGGACUGGACAGGACACCCCGCAGACUCUCCAGCCAUUCUCGCUGUUCCUUUUCAGUGGGGCAGGUGAAGAUGAACUUCCGCUCUGGAGUGAUGACGAAAAACCUGGCCCUGCUCAAAAGCAUCCUGCAAAUGGAAGGCAUGUAGUCCUCAGAGGCUGCCUUGGGGCAGAAGAGCCCUUGCAGCCUGGCCAAUCCCAAGGUCAAGUUUGGUAAAAAGGUACCUGUUCCAAAGGUUAGCUGACUGAAUGGCCUAGGCACAGGAGUGACCUAGAGCUGUACAUCUGGCCCAAACAGGUCACCUGCAGCUCUGGGUUGCUCUGGGUUGUAUGGGCCAAAGGGAUCAAAAGUGAGAGACUGACUGGAAGCCCUCUCUGGGCCAUGCUGGGCAGUACAGAAGGCACCUG
This is a non-coding RNA of Arvicanthis niloticus (Nile rat), 750 nucleotides long. The record is from RefSeq and is a predicted model, not a curated record. NCBI's taxonomy places the organism in Eukaryota, Metazoa, Chordata, Mammalia, Rodentia, Muridae.